GAAAAGUUUAUUUAUAUGAAGUUGGUGACAUGCAUUUUUAUGACCAACUCAAGAGAGAAUCUCUUUAUCUAAACUUUAUAAAAAUAAUAAUAAUAAUAGCUUUCAUUUUCCAAUGUGGUGUUUGAUUUAAAAUCUGCACUCUCCGCACCACCUAAUGCAGCUGACUUUAGACUGGAAUUUUUCACCCUUUGAACGAAACCUUUGGAC
This 207-nucleotide unclassified non-coding RNA is filed under the name Hevea brasiliensis (rubber tree). Lineage: Eukaryota; Viridiplantae; Streptophyta; Magnoliopsida; Malpighiales; Euphorbiaceae. The record is from RNAcentral.